Molecule: non-coding RNA, 1451 nt
Organism: Myodes glareolus (Bank vole)
Lineage: Eukaryota; Metazoa; Chordata; Mammalia; Rodentia; Cricetidae
Source: RefSeq, a predicted model, not a curated record
GAAAGCUGACCAACACACUGCAUCCCUGCCUCGCUUAGCCAAACACUGGCACUCCUGUGCAUGUGGCUGCUACCCUACCUCCUGGUCCACGGCCACUAGGAUGCAGAAGUAGGUGGGCAGGCUGUCCUGAAACCAACGUAGAGGAGCAGCCCACUCGGGAGCGUGUGACUCGAGGAACAGUGUGGUGCUGUGCACAUCAAAGGCAGCGGACACACAAUGGGGAAGGAAGCGGAAGAGAAGGAGGCGCGUUCGGAGCGGAGGCCCGCCUUCCUGUCUAGCCAAAGCUGAGAGACGGACACCUGUCUCCCAGGUGAGCUCUCUGUGAGGGAGUCAGCAUUAAGGCCUGGAAAUGCCAGGUCUUGUCAACUGAUAGCCACUGACCAGGUCUGCUUCCUGGAGCCUUCCAAAGCAGAACUGUCUGAAGAAGCAGGUAAAAUGAGUUGCAGGAAACUCGUGUUCCAUCCCUAACUAUCAAACCGUCAAGAGACUGCGGUCAGAGGGAAGGAUGACCACAGAAGCACUUUGCUGGAGGCUUGUGUGGAUAGACAAGGUUGUUUCCCAGACCUCCCGCCCCCCCCACCCCCACAUACUCUUUUUCCACAAGAAGGAUGAGAAGAGAGCCCACAGCACAGACUGGCAGGAAAGCCCCAGUCUCUUCCACACUGGCCAGCAGUCUGGGAAGUCAGUUGAACAAUGGUGGAACUCAUCCUGCAAAGGGCAGGCAAGAGGGUGACAGAAGUCCACCCACCCCCAUGUCCUACAGCUCCCAACCCCCAGGGGACAGACAUGCCUGUGUCUAGACCGAGCAGAGCCUAACUGCUCACAAGAGAAAAAAAUGGGGCAGCCUAAGCCGUUCUCCGGCUUGAACAAAAGGCAAAUAUCCUAGACAUGGCAGUCCAAACACCCUGGCCUUGUCCGUCUCACUGUGACGUCAGCGUAUGAGCCAGGUGAAGGGCAAAGCCACGCCUGGCUUGGCCUCUCUCUAGAGUCCCUGACUCAGCCAAUCAGGCCUCACCAAGAAGGAACCUUUGUGACAGGAGUCCCAGAGUCACAGGCUCUGGUGUUACUAUUUUUUCACAUUUGUCAAAUGCCAUGGCACACGGAGUCCACGGGGGAAGCGGGGGUGGGUAGGUUUGGUGGGCUGGCACGGGCAAGAGAUAAACAGAUGCGUGGCAUUCCAGAGCUCUGAGCGAAGACGCCCCUGCAAGCCGGGGAGCUGCUCGUGUGUGUGUGUGUGUGUGUGUGUGUGUGUGUGUGUGUGUUGUCAUCUCUAGCACUGUUCUCAGAACUUUCCACCCCGCACUUGGCAAAAGGAUAAAUCAGAACCUGACGACUUCUUGGCUACGGUCACCCUCUGCCAUGAGUGUCAGCACUGCCAGGCACUCCCUGGGGACAUGCUUGGCUCCUUCAUUUCAAGCACACAGUAAUAAAAAGACAGCUGGAUGCAGGGA